RNAcentral lists this microRNA precursor (82 nucleotides) under Chlorocebus sabaeus (green monkey). Its description in RNAcentral is "miRNA (ENSCSAG00000026468.1)". Lineage: Eukaryota; Metazoa; Chordata; Mammalia; Primates; Cercopithecidae. The record is from RNAcentral.
GUGUGCCCGGCGGGCGGGUGGGCAGGGGUGGCCGGUGGGACCCCCACCCCGCACCCGCGCUCACGUGCCCAUCUCCCCACAG